GACAGAGGGUGCAAACGUUGUUCGGAAUUACUGGGCGUAAAGGGCUCGUAGGCGGCCAACUAAGUCGGACGUGAAAUCCCCAGGCUCAACCUGGGAACUGCGUCCGAUACUGGAUGGCUUGAAUUCGGGAGAGGGAUGCAGAAUUCCAGGUGUAGCGGUGAAAUGCGUAGAUAUCUGGAGGAAUACCGGUGGCGAAGGCGGCAUCCUGGACCGACAUUGACGCUGAGGAGCGAAAGUGUGGGGAGCGAACAGG
This 253-nucleotide ribosomal RNA is filed under the name uncultured bacterium. RNAcentral's name for it is "partial 16S ribosomal RNA". It matches the Rfam family "Bacterial small subunit ribosomal RNA", at positions 524 to 776 of the family's 1533-position model. The record is from RNAcentral.